Long non-coding RNA from Aedes aegypti (yellow fever mosquito), 835 nucleotides. RefSeq lists it as uncharacterized. Lineage: Eukaryota; Metazoa; Arthropoda; Insecta; Diptera; Culicidae. The record is from RefSeq and is a predicted model, not a curated record. The transcript has 3 exons.
AUGCACUUCAUCGGAAUUCUACAGUCCGACAAUGGUGCAAGCGGCUCGGUUUAGACCAACAUGGAAGCCAGACCUCACCGGACUACGUAACAGCCACGUAUCAGAACAGGCACAGUGACAAAAUUUGCCUAAAGCGAAUUUCUGCUAAUCACAUACGAUGGGACAAUGCAACUGCAACGUAUGUAUUCCGGAACACCCAAUGAUGGAAGCUCACAUGGUAAACGUAGAAUGACCGUCUGUUCAGUUCGUCUGGAUGUUCCCGUUGGACUGGUAGGAUGCCGCACAGCAGCCAUUCAUUGGCACUGAUUGUUUUCACAGUAAACCGAUAUUCCCUUUGGAAUUUUCGAAACUAAAGCAGCUUGCAUUGACGUUGGAGCUGGCGAUGCAAUGGGAUUUGGAUUUGAGAACAGCCCAGAGUUGCAUAUGGCUUUACGCAACCAUUGCGGGAAUUCGCAUUUAUAUACGUGAAAUAUGUGUGAAUAACAGAAGAUGGAAGUACAUGCUGAGAUACUAAUUUGUUACAUGAUGGGCCACAAUUCGCUACGAUUAAACUACACCGAAUAGAUUAUUCUUCUUCACUGGACUCGUUGCUAAGUUGCUGUUUCCGUUGUUAUGUAAAUACUCCCAAGUCCCUCUCAACUUCAAGAAGUCUAUCAUAAAGAUUUUCGCUCUGCAAUGGAUGCUGUUCGGGUCUUUAGUAUAGUUUUAUUUUUUUUAAACGUCACAAAAGUUCCAAAAUGCACAAAUUCUUCAACCACUUCUCAUCAGUGUGUAUGUAAAAUAUUUAGAACAAUAGACAAAUAGACAAAAUGAAUGAAUGUUAAGGUUUGGCUGA